UACGUAGGUGGCAAGCGUUAUCCGGAAUUAUUGGGCGUAAAGAGGGAGCAGGCGGCAGCAAGGGUCUGUGGUGAAAGACUGAAGCUUAACUUCAGUAAGCCAUAGAAACCGGGCAGCUGGAGUGCAGGAGAGGAUCGUGGAAUUCCAUGUGUAGCGGUGAAAUGCGUAGAUAUAUGGAGGAACACCAGUGGCGAAGGCGACGAUCUGGCCUGUAACUGACGCUCAGUCCCGAAAGCGUGGGGAGCAAAUAGG
RNAcentral lists this ribosomal RNA (252 nucleotides) under uncultured bacterium. RNAcentral's name for it is "partial 16S ribosomal RNA". It matches the Rfam family "Bacterial small subunit ribosomal RNA", at positions 524 to 776 of the family's 1533-position model. The record is from RNAcentral.